This 1014-nucleotide long non-coding RNA is filed under the name Monodelphis domestica (gray short-tailed opossum). Its description in RNAcentral is "lncRNA (ENSMODG00000046569.1)". Lineage: Eukaryota; Metazoa; Chordata; Mammalia; Didelphimorphia; Didelphidae. The record is from RNAcentral.
GGAAGUGAAGUAGAGAACAGCCUCUGGAGUUCUCAGGACUUCCUGUGAGGAGGGCUAGAGUUAGUUCGAGGCUUGUACUUGGAGUUGGAGGAGCCCUGUGGACUGCUUUCCUUCAGAUGGGUCAUAUGAGGAAACUGAGGUUGAAAGAGGAAACAUGACUUGCCUAGAGUUUCACAGCUAAUAAGCUUGAGACAAUCUUCAAACUCCACACUUCCUAACUCCCAAGUGUACAUCAUUCCAUUUCGUCACCUUCCUGCCUGCUCAUAUAAUAUAUAUAUUCCUUGGAAACUGAGGCUAUUUCAUUUAAAAUUUUUCUUUGUAUACUGAUGUCCUCCUGAUAUAUGUAUAUGAACACCAUGAUGUCUAAGAGUGGAAAGAAGAGAGUCUGCAGUUUAUUGAGCAGGGAGGCAAUGGCACAGAACCAUCCAUUAUGGUACAACUGCAUCAGAGAAGGAUCUGUGAUCUAUGAACAAAGCAGAAUUCCAUUUGUUCAAAAGAAAUGUGAAAGAUUAUGGCCAGGUUUGAAGGAGGACAUUGAUCUUACUUUUGGGGAGUACGGUAUCUUCCUGUAGUUUUGGCUGCAAAUGGGAUAAUGGAACCAGAGCAAAUGAUGUCAUAUGCUUGAUAUAGAGUUUGGUACAAGGAAGUCCUACAUUUAACACAAGUUAAAUAGCUGCAACCUUGAGUCUCACACAUGAUCAAGUCACUGUGCUUUUUGUGCAGAAUGUCAUCAAUCCCCGUAGGAUUGGUUUGUUUUUUUUUCACCUUUUUGUGCUUGUUUGGCACUUUGCAAGUCAAGUUUUGUGCUCCUUUGUGGUCCAUUUGUCCUUGGAUUAGACAUAGUCAUUGAGAAAAAGUCUCAUAAUAGUUAAAUAACUACUGGUAGGUUGCCAUAAUCCAAAGCUUUUUGGGUAUGUGUUUUAUAUUCUAGGUAAAUAGAUAUCUGAGGUUAUGUUAUUGUCAAAAGUAAAAAUAGUUAAAUAAAAACAUUUUCAAUACUAGUGAUGUGUUUCA